Molecule: small RNA, 85 nt
Filed under: Homo sapiens (human)
Lineage: Eukaryota; Metazoa; Chordata; Mammalia; Primates; Hominidae
Description: nc012 non-coding RNA
Source: RNAcentral
AGAAGCGUCCAAGCCUCUCUGGGCCAUGAAGCCAUGCACAGAGCAGAGACCCGUGCAUCCUCAUGGCCACCCAAGACUGUGGGUC